AACGAACGCUGGCGGCAUGCCUAACACAUGCAAGUCGAACGAGACCUUCGGGUCUAGUGGCGCACGGGUGCGUAACGCGUGGGAACCUGCCCUUAGGUUCGGUAUAACUCCCCGAAAGGGGUGCUAAUGCCGGAUAAUGUAUUCGGGCCAAAGAUUUGUCGCCUUUGGAUGGGCUCGCGUUGGAUUAGCUUGUUGGUAGGGUAGAGGCCUACCAAGGCGACGAUCGGUAGCUGGUCUGUGAGGAUGAUCGGCACCACUGGGACUGAGAUACGGCCCAGACUCCAACGGGAGGCAGCAGUGGGGAAUGUUGCACUAUGGGCGGAAGCCUGAUGCAGCAACGCCGCGUGCGGGAUGACGGCAUGCGGGUUGUAUUCCGAUUUCGCCUGUGACGAAGCGUGAGUGACGGUAAUGGGUAAAGAAGCACCGGCUAACUACGUG
RNAcentral lists this ribosomal RNA (438 nucleotides) under uncultured bacterium. Its description in RNAcentral is "partial 16S ribosomal RNA". It matches the Rfam family "Bacterial small subunit ribosomal RNA", at positions 29 to 507 of the family's 1533-position model. The record is from RNAcentral.